RNAcentral lists this ribosomal RNA (1407 nucleotides) under uncultured bacterium. RNAcentral describes it as "bacterial SSU rRNA". It matches the Rfam family "Bacterial small subunit ribosomal RNA". The record is from RNAcentral.
AAUUCGAUUAGAGUUUGAUCAUGGCUCAGAUUGAACGCUGGCGGUAGGCUUAACACAUGCAAGUCGAGCGGUAACAGACAUUUUGAUUUUGCUUGCAAAAUCUCGUGCUGACGAGCGGCGAACGGGUGAGUAACGCGUAGGAAUCUACCUAGUAGAAGGGGAUAGCCCGAGGAAACUCGGAUUAAUACCGUAUACGUCCUUAGGGAGAAAGAGGGCUUAGCUUUGAUGCUCUCGCUAUUAGAUGAGCCUACGUAAGAUUAGCUUGUUGGUGAGGUAAAGGCUCACCAAGGCGACGAUCUUUAGCUGGUCUGAGAGGACGAUCAGCCACAUUGGGACUGAGACACGGCCCAGACUCCUACGGGAGGCAGCAGUGGGGAAUAUUGGACAAUGGGCGCAAGCCUGAUCCAGCCAUACCGCGUGUGUGAAGAAGGCCUUCGGGUUGUAAAGCACUUUAAGUAAGGAAGAAAAGAGUAUUGUUAAUACCAUUACUCCGUGACAUUACUUACAGAAUAAGGACCGGCUAAUUCCGUGCCAGCAGCCGCGGUAAUACGGAAGGUCCUAGCGUUGUUCGGAAUUACUGGGCGUAAAGCGCAUGUAGGCGGAACAGAAAGUUAGAAGUGAAAUCCCUGGGCUCAACCUAGGAAUUGCUUUUAAAACUUCUGUUCUGGAAUUCAGGAGAGGAAAAUGGAAUAUCCAGUGUAGAGGUGAAAUUCGUAGAUAUUGGAUGGAACACCAGUGGCGAAGGCGAUUUUCUGGACUGAUAUUGACGCUGAGAUGCGAAGGCAUGGGUAGCAAACGGGAUUAGAUACCCCGGUAGUCCAUGCAGUAAACGAUGGGUGCUAGUCGUCGGACUUAUGUUCGGUGUCGUAGCUAGCGCGUUAAGCACCCCGCCUGGGGAGUACGGUCGCAAGAUUAAAACUCAAAUAAAUUGACGGGGACCCGCACAAGCAGUGGAGCAUGUGGUUUAAUUCGACGCAACGCGAAGAACCUUACCAGCGUUUGACAUGGGAAGUGCCGGUUACAGAAUGGUAACCUUCAGUUCGGCUGGCUUCCACACAGGUGCUGCAUGGCUGUCGUCAGCUCGUGUCGUGAGAUGUUGGGUUAAGUCCCGCAACGAGCGCAACCCUUAUCGUUAGUUACUAACAGUUCGGCUGAGGACUCUAGCGAAACUGCCGGUGAUAAGCCGGAGGAAGGUGGGGAUGACGUCAAGUCCUCAUGGCCCUUACGGGCCGGGCUACACACGUGAUACAAUGGUAACUACAAAGGGCAGCGAAGGAGCAAUCUGGAGCAAAUCUCAAAAAGUUACCUCAGUUCGGAUUGUACUCUGCAACUCGAGUGCAUGAAGUUGGAAUCGCUAGUAAUCGUAGAUCAGCGCGCUACGGUGAAUACGUUCCCGGGUCUUGUAGA